CACAGGGAGAUCACCAUAAAAACCUAACACUGGAUGAAGGAAAGAUGGCAAUGCUGCAGAAGAAUGUGCCAUAGGAGCCCGAGCCUUCAGUACACGUGACUACAUUGUUGCUUCAGAAUCUGCUGGAGUCUGGUUUGAUUUGCUUUGGAAGAAAGAACGCUGCAAAUCCUAAUCCAAGAAUGCUUAGGAAGAAGGAUAGAAGCAGAAACAGGAGAGAAUGGAGAGACUCUUUAAGAUGAAGAAAGAAUGUUGGCCUUCAGCGUGUUCUUCAAGUAAAGACCCAUGCCCAGCACUCUUGAAGCAUGUUGGGGAGGAGCUUGGAGAGGAAUAACUAUGUGGCAUAGAGUAAAUUGCACAGGAAACUUCUCUGAUUGAAUAUUGGAGGUCAUCUUUUGGCAGCUGCAAGGCAGAAAUUUCUGAUUUGUGUUACAACCAGUCUAGCCCUCUGUGUCUUGGCUACGGACAGACAUGCCUCCACAAAGACACAAACCAGAAUGGAAUCUAACAGGAACCUUGGUGAGAGAUGUGCUCUGGGAGGAAUGAGAUAUGAAGACAGGACUCAAGAAACGGUGGCUAUAGACUUCUUAUAGGAGGCUUUAACUUUCUCAGUUUUGAAAUGCCAUAUUUGUUUUGCUGUGCGAUGAAUAUAAGUGAAUUAACAAUGU
RNAcentral lists this long non-coding RNA (665 nucleotides) under Homo sapiens (human). RNAcentral describes it as "HSALNT0316307". The record is from RNAcentral. Lineage: Eukaryota; Metazoa; Chordata; Mammalia; Primates; Hominidae.